CAGAGCUGACAGAACCCCAUAAGAAAAGGAAACGGACUGGGCUCCACAAGGCCAGGAAAACAUAAAUCUGGUCUCUCAGCUGCUCUGUUCUGAUGAAAUACGAUUGUCUGAAGAACAGACACCCCUGAUGUGGAGUCUGCUAGUUGAUGGGAGGCAGAGAGAUGUCACAGGUUCAUGCGUCCAUUUGCUUUUAAGGUGUCUUUGCUGUCAUUGCUGUCGUCAUUAAUAUCACUGGCCUGGACUGUCAACCGCUUAAGGGUGGGCUCUCAUUGAAGUGAAUGUGAUUUAUUCCAAAGAAGGUCUCAGAUUCAAAAUAAUCAUCUUUAAAAGUCACUUCCUGCAGCAGUGAAUUCCGGAAAUGCACAGUGUGACUUCCUAAUGAAGCAUCCUACUGGAACUGGUUGCCUAGAGAGGUUGUGGGCUCUCUGUCUUUGGAGGUAUUCAAAACCUGACUAGACACUGUCCUGGGUAACCUGCUGUAGCCGAUCCCGCUUGAGCAGGAGGGUUGGACCAGAUGAUCUCCAGAGGUGCCUUCUGGCCUCAGCCCUUCCGUGAUUCUGUGAAGUCAAGAGGACAAUUACCAUUGAAUUUAGUGAUUUGAGGAUUUCACCUAUAGUAUAAAAUAAGGCUAAUUUCUGCAUUGCGUAGCUAUGGGGAGAGGCAGAACGGAAAGCUCCUGUGCUUUCCAUUAAAAAUGGAUGUUGGCAAAAGGAUGGCCAUGGAAACCAUCAGAUUCCUGCUGGUAUGAGUGAAUGCAUUUCUGCUGACUUCCAGGGAAGUUUCCGGCCUAUCCUGGGAGUGAUUUUGGCUCUGUGAGCUCUGCAUUGCUCCUUGUAUGUGUUGCAGUA
This is a long non-coding RNA of Struthio camelus australis, 848 nucleotides long. RefSeq lists it as uncharacterized. The record is from RefSeq and is a predicted model, not a curated record. Lineage: Eukaryota; Metazoa; Chordata; Aves; Struthioniformes; Struthionidae.